RNAcentral lists this long non-coding RNA (395 nucleotides) under Brassica napus (rape). RNAcentral describes it as "long non-coding RNA (BNAP_LNC000299)". Lineage: Eukaryota; Viridiplantae; Streptophyta; Magnoliopsida; Brassicales; Brassicaceae. The record is from RNAcentral.
CCGGCUCAAAGAAAGUUGUGUAAGUUCAACUUAAGUCACAGAAACUUCUACAGAUACAUAGAUUUGUUCUGUUAUUAAAUUCCGAGCAUUUAAUCCGGUUUGAUGAGAUUAGGUAAGAGCAUCUCCAAUGGUGUUCUAUAAUCUCCUCUAUAAUUUUUACUAUAAAAUAGAGUAACCUUAUUAUAAAGUUGGUUUUGCUCCAAUGGUUAACUCUAUAAUAAAAAUUACUAUAUAAUAGGGUAGAAUAUAGAGGAAUGUUGUUUUUUUUUAUUCCAAAUUGGAGAUGGUCUAAAGGCCAAAGCCACCAACACGCAUUGACUCACACAUAAUUUCCUCAUCUAGUUUUUAGUUUUGGAAAUGAAAAUAUAAUACUUAAAACAAACAUGGGAGGCACA